This 72-nucleotide transfer RNA is filed under the name Camelus bactrianus (Bactrian camel). It matches the Rfam family "tRNA". Rfam says of the family: Transfer RNA (tRNA) molecules are approximately 80 nucleotides in length. Their secondary structure includes four short double-helical elements and three loops (D, anti-codon, and T loops). The record is from Rfam by way of RNAcentral. Lineage: Eukaryota; Metazoa; Chordata; Mammalia; Artiodactyla; Camelidae. RNAcentral also lists the same sequence under 2 other names.
GAGGGUAUAGCUCAGUGGUAGAGCAUGUGCUUAGCAUGCACGAGGUCCUGGGUUCAAUCCUCAGUACCUUCA